RNAcentral lists this small RNA (166 nucleotides) under Chrysemys picta bellii (western painted turtle). RNAcentral describes it as "TUC338 (ENSCPBG00000020192.1)". The record is from RNAcentral. Lineage: Eukaryota; Metazoa; Chordata; Testudines; Emydidae.
UGGAUUGUUAACCCUGAAGAUUCUAGCCACCGGACAUGUACAGCAUGGACAUUAGCAAUGUGAGCUUUCCCACACUGCCCAGUCAAUAUGUUUCCACUUUGUCCUGGAAGGAGCACUUCUGGGGCUAACAGUUCAGUCUCCACAGCCUAUUCAGUUCUUGGUCUCU